This 379-nucleotide non-coding RNA is filed under the name Drosophila ananassae. RNAcentral describes it as "Eukaryotic large subunit ribosomal RNA". It matches the Rfam family "Eukaryotic large subunit ribosomal RNA", at positions 1 to 363 of the family's 3401-position model. The record is from Rfam by way of RNAcentral. Lineage: Eukaryota; Metazoa; Arthropoda; Insecta; Diptera; Drosophilidae.
CAACCUCAACUCAUAUGGGACUACCCCCUGAAUUUAAGCAUAUUAAUUAGGGGAGGAAAAGAAACUAACAAGGAUUUUCUUAGUAGCGGCGAGCGAAAAGAAAUCAGUUCAGCACUAAGUCACUUUGUCUAUAUGGCAAAUGUGAGAUGCAGUGUAUGGAGCGUCAAUAUUCUAGUAUGAGAAAUUAACGAUUUAAGUCCUUCUUAAAUGAGGCCAUUUACCCAUAGAGGGUGCCAGGCCCGUAUAACGUUAAUGAUUACUAGAUGAUGUUUCCAAAGAGUCGUGUUGCUUGAUAGUGCAGCACUAAGUGGGUGGUAAACUCCAUCUAAAACUAAAUAUAACCAUGAGACCGAUAGUAACCAAGUAGAAUCCACCACAA